AGCGAACGCUGGCGGUAGGCCUAACACAUGCAAGUCGAACGGAAGCACAGUAAGAGCUUGCUCUUACGGGUGGCGAGUGGCGGACGGGCGAGGAAUACAUCGGACUCUACUCUUUCGUGGGGGAUAACGUAGGGAAACUUACGUUAAUACCGCAUACGACCUACGGGUGAAAGCAGGGGAUCUUCGGACCUUGCGCGAUUGACUGAGCCGAUGUCGGAUUAGCUAGUUGGCGGGGUAAAGGCCCACCAAGGCGACGAUCCGUAGCUGGUCUGAGAGGAUGAUCGGCCACACUGGAACUGAGACACGGUCCAGACUCCUACGGGAGGCAGCAGUGGGGAAUAUUGGACAAAGGGCGCAAGCCUGACCCAGCCAUACCGCGUGGGUGAAGAAGGCUUUCGGUUUGUAAAGCCCUGUUGUUGGGAAAGAAAAGCUGCAGGGUAAUACCCCGCGGUUGUGACGGUACCCAAAAAAUAAGCACCGGCUAACUUCGUG
Molecule: ribosomal RNA, 492 nt
Filed under: uncultured bacterium
Lineage: Bacteria
Description: partial 16S ribosomal RNA
Rfam family: Bacterial small subunit ribosomal RNA
Source: RNAcentral